CUCAUUUAAUCUUAAGUAGCUAUGAUGAUUGUAUUUUUUUAGUAACAUAGGGGGAAAUGUAUUAUUUCAUCUUAUUAGCAAAGCCCUGUAGAAGAUAUCACUGUGGGCUUAAACUACAGCAUUGCCACAAGCUCCGAGUUAGGGACGGCACAUAAUUGCAAGACUCCUUAAUGCCAGUUAGAUUGCCUACAGUCCGAACACCUUUCAAGGCCAUUUACUGCCCCCUUCAACAUUGGGAAGUAAGGCAAGACUACUUUGGAUUAAUACAUUUCCAGUUAAACAUUAUUCUGAGAUGCUUAUUCUAGUUACAAUUUUUAAAGCCCUGCAGAUGGAGCUCUGUUUAAAUGAAUACCACACUGCCAGCCAGAGAGGAGCUUCUGUUGUCUUUGGCAACACAGGUGUUGCUGGAGAACAUUGAACUGAAUUAGCUUACGAGCCAGCUGUUUGCUUAUACGGGAUGCUGUUAUAUAGAAAAUCUCUGCAUUAUGCCAGGUGAACUCUUGCCAUUAUAAGUCUCUCUGGGACAUACUCGUACUAUUUUAUCAGCGUGAACCGGUGUUCAAUCCUCCCCACCCGGCUUUUCUUUCAAGAUCCAUCUUACAAGAUGACUGACUCUGAAACUUAAUGUUGCAGCAUCUGUGCAUAUCAAACCUGAAAGCCGCUUAUAAAAUGUGUUGUGCAGACUACCUGCACAUUUUUAUACCUAUUAGAAUAAAAUAAAACAAGGAGAAUGCCUUAUUCUCCUUCCCUUCUCUGGAAUUGCCAAAAGCACUGAUUUAUUUUCCCAGCCUGAAGUAUUUUAAAGGAUUGUGCAUUUCAAAACAAACUAUAAGAAACAUUUAUAGGUAUAGCCGAGUACAGUUUAUACCAUGG
Molecule: non-coding RNA, 873 nt
Organism: Pelodiscus sinensis (Chinese soft-shelled turtle)
Lineage: Eukaryota; Metazoa; Chordata; Testudines; Trionychidae
Source: RefSeq, a predicted model, not a curated record